Molecule: long non-coding RNA, 13969 nt
Organism: Lycium barbarum (goji berry)
Lineage: Eukaryota; Viridiplantae; Streptophyta; Magnoliopsida; Solanales; Solanaceae
Exons: 3
Source: RefSeq, a predicted model, not a curated record
CCAGUAUUUCUCAACGUUUGCAAGGGCAGUAAUUUAAUGUGAAACGAAGAUACCACUAUUGUAGCGUUUAUAAAAUAGCCAGCUAAAAAGUGUAUUGUGCAACUCUAGACGGACAAAAUGAGGCAAUGGAGAGGCAUUGGGGAGUCUUUUAAUGGUGGUUGCCCCCUCUCUUUUCGCCGUUGAUUUCCUUUUCCAAACAAUUAAACCACCAUUGUUGACAAAAUGCAUAUAUUGCCCCCCUUAAACUUGGGAAAAUAGUUACUUUUUUUAAGCUAAUCCAAACAGGCUCUUAUUAUAAUCACCGGAUAUAUGAGGCUAUGAUGAUGAUAAAUGUUGUUCGUCUAGAUUCGGGUCGGGUAAUCGGAGCAGCCCGUAUCUUGGCGGGGCGACCCGGUAAGGGGUCUGCAGCCAUGGCGGUUGCUUUGUCUCCUUUUUGCCCUUCAUAUUAUUACAAAUCUGAGCCUCAAAUUGUAAGUAAUUACUGGCUAAUUGGCAAGUCCAUUUGUUAAAUUAGCUCACAAAUGGAGAGAGUAUGGGAUUUCCUUGGCAAAAUUAUAAAUUUACGCUCUAUGUCUAUGGGGAGAAAAUAUUUACGCUCCGUAGCCCAUAUUGUAUAUUGGGCUAUGUUACGUAAUAUUUUAUGUCGGGCUGUAUAUUUUUUGAAAAUUGUCCUUAGGGAAAAUUACGCUCUAUGUCUACUGGAGAGAAUAUUUACCUGAUUUAGCCCAGAUUUUCCUUAAACACCUGUUGUACAUUAUUAUACACUUUUAUACAAGGUGACACAUUGUUUACAUGUUUGUAUAAUGUUGUAUACCGUGUGUAUAAAUAAACACUGUUGAAAAAAAAGAAGUUGAUUAUGUGAAUGUAAACUGAAACUAUGACUAUGUAGGUGUAAUAUAUUAAGUUGGGUUGGAUAAUUUUUUGAAAAUCCCUUUCUUUUAAGGGUGGUUUCCCUUCUCUCUGCUUUGCCGUUGAUUCUCAUUUUUUUUUUUUUAACAAACCAACACCCCCUUUUUUUUUUUUUAAAAAAAAAAAGAGAGAGAGAGACAGAGAUAUAUUGUUCAUCAAUUUCUGUUUGGACUUUGGAUGGUCGUUACCCAUGGUUUCAUAAUGUACAAUAGCGUAUUGUAUAGUAUUGCUUGUAUUGUAUUUUACUGUAUUAAUGGAUACAAUGUUUGGAUAGACUGUGUCGUCUGUUGUGGUUUAAUAACAUUUUUUAUGUUCAAAAUGCAACACACACAACUAUACUACAACAACUACCUACUUGACUUUGAAAAUUAUUAAAGAGGCAGUGAUGAUGAUUUUUUUUUUUUCUAUUUCUGGGCUAACUAAUUCGGGCAUGGAGAUUACCCAACCCGUAUCUUGGCAUGGCAACCCGGUAUGGUGUGUGAUUGCGACGCAUAUCUCUCACACAUGCAUUCGGUGUUUUGCAGCCAUGGCGUGGCUGGCUUCUCUUUUGCCUUAUCAUAACACAUAUCUGAGCCUCAAUUUGCUAAAGAAAAUAGGGAAAAGGGUCAAAUUUAUCACUGAUCUGAGCCUCCAAUUGUAAGUAAGUACUGGCGAAUUGGAAAUUCCCUUUGUUAGGUUAGCCCAGAAAUGGCGAGAAUGAGGCAGCAGAGAGAGUAAGGGAUUUCUUUCAAUGGCGGUUGCCCUUCUCUCUGCUUUGCCUAUGAUUGUCCAUAUUUUUUUUUUUUUUUGUUUUUACAAACUAACAGCCCUUAAAAAAAGAAAGAGAAAGAGAGAUAAAUAGUACUCCCUCCAGUUCAUAAAAAGUGUCUACUUACUCCUUUGGGCGUUGAAAAUUAUAAAGAGGCAGUGAUGAUGAUUUUUUUCCUAUUUCUGGGCUAACUAAUUCAGGCAUGGAGAUGACCCAACCCGUAUCUUGGCAUGGCAACCCGGUAUGGCCUGCGAUUGAGACGUAUAUCUCACACAUGCAAUCGGUGUUCUGCAGCCAUGGCGAUGUUGGCUUCGCUUUUGCCUUAUCAUAACACAUAUCUGAGCCUCAAUAUUAUGCUAAAGAAAAUAGGGAAAAGGGUCAAAUUUAUCACAUGUCUGAGCCUCAAAUUGUAAGUAAUUACUGGCGAAUUAGCAAUUCGCUUUGUUAGAUUAGCCCAGAAAUGGCGAGAAUGAGGCAGUAAAGAGUAUGGGAUUUCUUUUAAGGGUGGUUGCCCUUCUUAAUGCUUUGCCAAUGAUUCUCCAUUUAUUUUAACGAACCAACAGCCCUUAAAAAAAGAAAGAGAAAAAGAGAGAUAUAUAGUACUUCAGUUUCUGGGUUUCGUUGCCUUUUUUUUUUUUCUUCACCCUUAGGGGCCGUUUGGUAGGGUGUUCAACAAUACUACUGAAUAGGUAGUAUUAGUAAGGGUUAAUAGGACUUUUUUUUUUUAGAAGAAAAAAAAAGAAGAAAAAAAAAGAAGGGUUAAUAGCACUUUUGGUCCCUCAGUUAUUGAUAAGAUUAUGAUUUUAGUCCUUGCGAUAUUGGACUAAGCACAUUAAACUUUCAAUUAAUCUAAGGGUACGUCCCUCAUAUUUUUUCAAAUUUUGCUUUUAUGCUAGCUACCAUUUUCCUAUUUUCCUAGAAUUAUGAAUAUGUGCUGGAGGAUAUUAGUUUUCUCAGUUCUAAACCAAACAAAUGGACUCCAAUUUUCUGUCUUAAAUUCUUGCCAACCCUACUUUGCUGCUAACUUCUUCGUUUCCAUCUCAUUUGCCUGUGAAAUCCUCACUUCUUUGUGAUUAUACAAAACUAAUAUUAGCUCUUUUAUGCUUCGCAUGUGAUAAUAGCUGGAUGUUUUGUGAUGGUAUACUAGUUAGUGUUACAUAAUGUUAUCGACUUCCCGAGCAUUUUAACUGACUAAUUACCAAAAAAGAUAAGACUUGCUUGAGUCGUGUAAUGGGAGGUCACUGUUGACUGAAGGGGUCUGUAUAAUAGCUUAAAAAGGAGAGAAUGAGGUAACAGGCAGAAGGAGAGAAUUAGGUAAAUAUCUGUCUGUUAAAACAAAAAUAUAUAAUUUGAAAUAAUAACAAAUAAUCGAAUUAUAUAUAAAAAGGUAUAAGAUACGAAAUAACCUUAUGAAAAAGGGUAUGAUAAGAAAAAAAUAAUUCUAGAAAACGUAAUGAACUAACUUAGUUAUCUUAAUUGACAUCUGAGGUGUUUUGCCUUUAUAUCUCACCCUUUCAUCUUGUUUGAUCCUCUUUCUUGUUUUUGUUUCUUGUGUUGAUGUAUGCUCUGGCCUUAUUUCUACAUUAUAAACAGAAACUGGAAUCCUAAACUCAAGAACAAGAAUGAGGCUGCAUAGGGAUGGCAAGUUUUCUCCGUCAUUUAGGUUCCGGACUCGACAAGUAACCUGCGAAAGAGAGCAUUCUGCAACUCUGGACAGAAAUAAUGAGGCAACUUAGAGGCAUUGGGGAGUCUGUAAUGGUGGUUGCCCCCUCUCUGUUCCUUUUGCCGAUGAUUUUCUUUCCCAUUUUCACACCAAAAAAAAAACAAAACAAUAAACCACCAUUGUUGAAAAUGUCAAAUACAUAUAUUGCCCCUUAAACUACUUCUGUUUCUUCACUUAUUGUUGACCUCUCCAUCUUCACUAUGGCUAGCUUUUAAUCACGGAUAUGAGGUUGUGAUGAUAAAUGGUGUUGUCUAGAGUUCGGUCGGGCAUCGGAGCUGCCUGUAUCUUGGCGGGGUGACCUGGUAAGGCAUCUCCGCUUUUUGCAACCGAGGUCCGCAGCCGUGGCGGUUGCUUUGUCUCCUUUGCCUGAUUUUAUCACAGAUAUAAGCCUCAAAUUGUUAGUGGAAAAGGGAAAGUGUUCCAUUAUGAUGCAUUCUACUACAAAAAGGGGCUAUGAUGAUGCUUAUAAAUCUUUCUGUUUCUGGGAUGAUCAUUACAUUGAGAUGCCCUGACCCGUAUCUUGGCAUGGCACAAUCUGUUAUGGCCUGUGAUUGGAAACUCCUCUCUCAUGCAACCGGUGUUUUGCAGCCAUAGCGUAUCUGGUUUCUCUUUUGCCUUAUGGCCCUUAUUAUACGCAUCUGAGCCUCAAUUUGCUGAAGAGCAUCAGUUGGCGUUUGGACAAUAGUUGAAUUGAAGCUGAGAAAUUCUUUUAAAUGCAAACUUGUGAAGCAGCAGAGAAUAUGGGAUCUGCGAAUUCCAUUUAUUAGGUUGGCCCAGAAUGGCGAGAAUGAGGUAGCAGAGAAUAUGGGAUUUCUUUCAAGGGUGGUUGUCCCGUUCUCUGCUUUUCCUAUGAUUCUCCAUUUUUUUUACAAACCAACAGCCCUUAAAAAAGAAAGAGACAGACAGAAGAUAUUUCAGUUUCUGGGGUUUUUUGCGCCCUGCAAGACGCUAACCAGCUAACAAACGACCCCUAAAUGUAUACUCAAAACCCCCGUACACACAACUGUACUACAAGAACUACGUGACCUUCAGAUCUUCAACUCCGUGUCCUCGUUAGGACUUUGAGAAUUAUUAAAAAGGCAGUGAUGAUUUUUUUUUUGCUAUUUCUGGGCAAACUAAUUCGGGCAGGGAGAUGACCCGACCCGUAUCUUGGCAUGGCAACCCGGUAUGGCGUGUGAUUGAGAUGUAUAUCUCUCACAUAUGCAAUUGGUGUUUUUGCAGCCAUGGCGUGGUUGGCUUCUCUUUUGCCUUAAUCAUAACACAAAUCUGAGCCUCAGUUUGCUAAAGAAAAUAGAAUUGUUGGCCAUAGAGAGGUGCCACCUCAUCUCUUUUGUGCCUGGCUUUAAUUAUAUAUAGAUCACCUGCGAAGACAGCAGUAUAGUGCAACUCUAGAUGGAAAGAAUGAGGCAAUGGAGAGGCAUCGGGGAGUCUGUAAUGGUGGUUGCCCCCUCUUUGUUCGCCGAUGAUUUCCUUUUCCAUUUUCAUAAUAAUAAACCACCAUUGUUGAAAAUGGUCAAAUACAUAGAUGGCCCCUUUAACUACUUCUGCUUCUUCACUUCCUCACUUUACCUACCUUUUAAUCACGGAUAUGAGGCUAUGAUGAGAAAUAGUGUUGUCUAGAGUUGGGUCGGGCAUUAGAGCUGACCGUAUCUUGGCGGGGCGACCUGGUAAGGCAUCUCCAUUAUUUUUCAACUGAGGUUCGCAGCCAUGGCGGUAGCUUUGUCUCCUUCUGCCUGAUUUUAUCACAGAUCUGAGCCUCAAAUUGUAAGUAAUUACUGGCAAAUUGGAAAUUCCGUUUGUUAGGUUAGCCCAGAAAUGGCGAGAAUGAGGCAGCAGAGAGAGUAAGGGAUUUCUUUCAAGGGUGGUUGCCCUUCUCUCUGCUUUGCCUAUGAUUGCCCCCCCCCCCCCCCCCCCCCCCCCCUUUUUUUUUUUUUACAAUCCAACAGCCCUCAAAAAAGAAAGAAAAAGAGAAAUAUAUAGUACUCCCUCCGGUUCAUAAAAAGUGUGCACUUACUCCGUUGUGGCUUUGAAAAUUAUUAAAGAGGCAGUGAUGAUGAUUUUUUUCUAUUUCUGGGCUAACGAAUUAGGGCAUGGAGAUGACUCGACCCGUGUCUUGGUGUGGCAACCCUGAAUGGCCACCCUGUACGGCCUGUGAUUGUGAUGCAUAUCUCUCACGGUGUUUUGCAGCCAUAGCGUGGUUGGCUUCUCUUUUGCCUUAUAAUGACACAGGUCUGAGCCUCAAGUUGCUUAAGAAAAUAGGCAAAAGGGUCAAAUUUAGCCCUCUACAGUGCAAAAAGGGACAAUAUCUUUUCCCGAAUUCAUGUGGGGGAUAUUGAACCCACACUCUUUUGACUACCAGUUAUAAUGCUUUUCACUCGUAAUGCUUAUCACAGAUCUGAGCCUCAACUUGUAAGUAAUUACUGGCGAAUUGGCAAUUCCCUUUAUCAGAGUAGCCCAGAAAUAGCGAGAAUGAGGCAACAGAGAGUGUGGGAUUUCUUUUAAGGGUGGUUGCCCUUCUCUCGUCUUUGCCUAUGAUUUUUCAACUUUUAAAUAACCAACAACCCUUAAAAAAGAAAGAGACAGCGAGAUAUAUAGUACUUCCAUUUCUGAGUUUUUUGCAAUCUCUGGGUUUUUUGCAUUUUUGCACCCUUAACGUAUGCUCAAAACACAAUACAAACAACUUACUACAACAACUACGCUACCUUCGGAUCUUAAAGAGGCAGUGAUGAUGAUUUGUUUUCUAUUUCUGGGCUAACUAAUUCGGGCAUGGAGAUGACCGGACCCGUAUCUUGGCGUGGCUACCCGGUAUGGCCUGUGAUUUAGAUGCUUCUCUCACACAUGCAAUCGGUGUUUUGCAGCCAUGCCGUGGUGGCUUCUCUUUUGCCUUAAUACAUCUGAGCCUCAAUUUGCUUAAGAAAAUAGGAAAAAGGGUCAGAUUAUAUGCAAAAAGGGGCAAUAUUUUUUCCAUGAUUCAUGUGGGAAAUAUCGAACCCAAGCCCUUUUGAUUACCAGUUAUAAUUAUCGCCUUUUUUUGAUAAGUAACAGCUCAAGAACGAGGGAUUAGAGUGAAAUGUGGGAUUUCUACUGAUCUAAUGGUUCCUUGUUCAUUUCUGCUGGGUUCUUGUUCUUUGUCGCCUUGGCUUCGAGAUUCUUCCUUAGAAGCUAUUGGGGAAUGCGGCUGAUGCUAAAGAAAUGUGAUGAUCAGGUGAAAGGGGUAGUAAUGAUACUUCCUAGUUCUCUCCAGUGUUUUAAAAGGCGUUUUUGAGGCGAACCCUGGGGCGGGGCAUAGUAAAAAUGCACCGGGGCGAUCUGUGGGGAGAAUGUAUCGUGAGGCGUAAGCCCCUUCUCUGGUAAACCCCUGAUUUUUUCUUAUUUACGUUAUGUGUUUAUGCUAGCUACCGUGUUCGUAUUUUCCUAGAAUUAUGAAUAUGUACUGAAGGAUAUUAUGUUUCUCAGUUUGAAAACCAAACAAAUGGACUCUAAUUUUCUGUCUUAAAUUCUUGCCAACCCUACAAGCUAAUAUAAGUUCCUUUUAAGCUUCCCAUGUGAUAAUAGCUGGACCAACUAUACUACAACAACUACGCGACCUUCGGAUCUAAGAGAGGCAGUGAUGAUGAUUUUUUUCUAUAUCUGGGCUAACUAAUUUGUGCAUGGAGAUGACCCGACCCGUAUCUUGGUGUGGCGACGGUAAAUCAUCUCCUUUGUUUUGCAGCCGAGGUUUGCAGCCAUGGCGGUUGCUUUGUCUCCUUUGCCCUGAUGUUAUUACAGAUCUGAGCCUCAAAUUGUAAGCAAUUCCUUAGUUUGAUUAGCCCAGAAAUGGUGAGAAUGAGGCAGCAGUGAGAGUAUGGGAUUUCUUUGAGGGGUGGUUGCCCUUCUCUCUGCUUUGCCUAUGAUUAUCCAUUUUUUUUUAACAAACCAACAGCCCUUAAAAAAGAAAGACAGAGAGAGAUAUAUAGUACUCCCUCCGGCUCCUAAUAAGUGUCCACUUACUCGGUUGUGGCUUUGAAAAUGAUUGAAGAGGCAGUGAUGAUUUCUGGGCUAACUAAUUCUGGCAUGGAGAUUACCCGAUCUGUAUCUUGGCAUGGCAACCCGAUAUGGCCUGUGAUUUUGAAACGCAUAUCUCAGACAUGCAAUUGGUGUUUUGCAGCCAUGACGUGGUUGGCUUCUUUUUUGCCUUAUCAUAACACAAAUCUGAGCUUCAAUAUGCUAAAGAAAAAAGGGUCAAUAUCUUUUCCAUGAUUAAUGUGGGAUAUAUCGAACCCACUCCCCUUUUGAUUACCAGUUAUAAUGCUUUUCACUCGUAAUGUGUCCCUUCUCUGUGUGAGUCCGAGUAACUUAGAUGCUAAGCUACCAUGUUCGUAUUUUCCUAGAAUUAUGAAUUAUGUGCUGAAGGAUAUUAUGUUUCUUAGUUUGAAAACAAAACUAAUGGACUCCAAAUUUCUGACUUAAUCCUGCCAACCCUACUCUAUGGUUCCCUCUAAUUUCCUUUUUUCCAUAGUUCCGUCAAAUCUAGCAGACGAGUUAAUAUUUGAUGGAGACUAAUAAAAGAAAAUAAAUAAAUAAAAGAGUUUAACUUUCGGCAAACUUAAAGGACCAAAACUGUUUAGUGCAUAUAUAAGGGAGUAUUUUGAACCUACCCUCAAACAUAAGGGAUCAUUUUUGUCUUUUUCUCCUGUAUAUAGAAACUCAUCUUCCAGUACUUUGGCUCUUUACAGAAAAAAAAAAAAGGAUACCACCUUAUUUUGGUUCUGAACUCGUGUUCUGCAACUCUAGAUGGAAAGAAAUGAGGCAACAGAGAGGCGUUGGAGAGUCUGUAAUGGUGGUUGCCCCUCUCAGUUCUUUUGCCGAUGAUUUCCUUUUCCAUUUUCACAAAAAAAAAAAAAAAAAAAAAGAAAAAGAAAAAAAGAAAAGGUUACAAUAAACCACCAUUGUUGAAAAUAGUCAAAUGCAUACAUAGAUUGCCCCUUAAACUUGCUUCUACUUCUUCACUUCUUGUUGACCUCUUCCUCUUCAUUAUGUCUAGCUUUUUAAUCAUGCAUAUAAGGCUGUGAUGACAAAUGGUGUCUAGACUUCGGUCGGGCACUGGAGCUGCCCGUAUCUUGGUGGGGCUACUCAGAAGGCAUCUCCGUAUUUUGCAACCGAGGUCUGCAGCCAUGGAGAUUGCUUUAUCUCCUUUGCCUGAUUUUAUCACAGAUACGAGCCUCAAAUUGUUAGUGGAAAUGGGAAAGUGUUCCAUUAUGAUGCAUGAGGCUGUGAUGAUGCUUAUAAAUCUUUCUGUUUCUAGGAUGAUCAUUCAAUAUUGAGAUGCCCUGUGACCCGUAUCUUGGCUUGGCACAACCCGGUAUGGCCUGUUGACUGGAAACUCCCCUCUCUAGUGCAACCGGUGUUUUGCAGCCACGGUGUAGCUGGUUUCUCUUUUGCCUUAUCAUUAUAAGCAUCCGAGCCUCAAUUUGCUGAAGAACAUAAGUAGGCGUUUGGACAAUAUUUAAGUUGAAGCUGAGAAAUUCUCUUAAUUACAAACUUGUGAGGUCUCUUCAGUUAAAAGCUGUCAUCUACGAAUUCCAUUUAUUAGUUUGGCCCAGAAAUGGCGAGAAUGAGGCAGCAGAGAGAAUAUGGGAUUUCUUUGAAGGGUGGUUGCCCCUCUCUCUGCUUUGCCUAUGAUUUUCCAUUCUUUAACAAACCAACAGCCCUUAAAAAAAGAAAGGGACAGACUGGACAUAUUUCUGUUUCUGUUUUUUUUUUUUUUUUUUCACCUGCAUAACUCUAACCAGCUACCAAACGACCCCUUAAUGUAUACUCAAAACCCCAGUACACACAACUAUACUAAAAGUCUAAAACUACGCGACCUUCAGAUCUUCAAAUCUGUCUCUGUCAUGGCUUUGAAAAUUAUUAAAGAGGCAGUGAUGAUGAUCUUUCUCUAUUUCUGGGCUAACUAAUUCAGGCAUGGAGACUACCCGACCCGUAUCUUGUCGCGGCAACCGGUAUGGCCUGUGGUUGAAACACAUAUCUUACACAUGCAAUCCUGUGUUGCAGCCAUGGCGUGUUUGGCUUCUGUUUUGCCUUAUCAUAACACAAUCUGAGCCUCAAUUUGCUAAACAAAAUUGGGAAAAAGGUCAAAUUUUUCCUUCUACUUUGGAAAAAAGGGCAAUAUUUUUUCCAUAAUUCAUGUUGGAGAUAUCGAGCCUGCGCCCUUUUUGACUACCAGUUAUAAUACUUUUCACUCAUAAUGUAUCACCAUUUUUUGAUAAGAACAGCUCAAGAAUGGGGGAUUUGAGUGAAAUGUGGGAUUUCUAAGAAACUGGAAUCCUAAACUCAAGAACAAGAAUGAGGCUGCAGCACAGGGAUGAAAAGUUUUUAAGGGUGUUGCCUCCAUCUGCAUGCCUGUGAUAUGUCUGUGUUCUGCUACUGUCAAAGCAGCAGCCCUUCUUUCAUGCUUAGCUGGCGCUCUAAUGGUUAUUCACAAUCUGCUCUAAAGGGGCUAUGAUCAUGCUUAUAGAUCUUUCUAUUUCUGGUAUGAUCAUUGAGCAUUGAGAUGACCUGACUCGUAUCUUGGCAUGGCAACCGGUGUUUUGCGGCCAUGGCGUGGCUGGCUUCUCUUUUGCCUCAUCAUUAUACGCAUCUGAGACUCAAUUUGCUGAAGAACAUAAAUAGGCGUUUGGACAUUAUUUAAGUUGAAGCUGAGAAAUUCUUAAAUGCAGACUUGUGAGGUCUCUUCUGUUAAAAGCUCUCAUACAAGCAAAUUUCCUUUAUUAGGUUAUCCCAGAAAUUGCUAGAAUGAGGCUGCAGAGAGUAUGGGAUUUCUUUCAGGGGUGGUUGCCCCUGUCUGCUUUGCCUAUGAUUCUCCCGUUCUCAACAAACCAACAGCCCUUGAGAGAAAGAAAGAUCAACAUAGUACUUCAGUUUCUGGUUUUCUGGAUUACAAUUCAUUAAAUUUUCCCAAUAUACUAGUAUACCACAACUACUACGUCGCCUUCAUAUCUUCAGUCCGUCUCCUCUUGGCCCUUUGCGCGUAUCUUCCCGUUUAUGCUCAUUGUUAGUGGAAACUGAAAAGUGUUCCAUUAUGAUGCAUUCUGCUAUAGAAAGGGGCUAUGAUGCUUAUAUCUUUCUAGUUCUCUGCCGAUCGUGGAGCAUUGAGAUGAACCGACCAGUAUAUUGGCGUGGCAACUGGUAUGGCCUGUGAUUGAAAACUCCUCUCCGUCUCAUGCAAUCGGUGUUUGCAGCCAUGGGGAGGCUAGCUUCUCUUUUGCCAUAUCAUUACAUGCAUCUGAGCCUCAAUUUGCUGAAGAACAUAAGUAGGCGUUUGGACAAUAUUUCAGUUACACCAACGACAAUACCCAGUGUAAUCCCACAAGUGGGGUGUGGAAACGCGGUGAAGGUGGAUCGAACACGUGACCUUCAGAUCUUCAUUGUGACGCUCUCCCAACUGAGCUAUCCCUGCUUGUUAACAAUAUUCAGUUGAAGUUGCAGAAUUCUCUUACGUGCAGACUUGUGAGGUCUCUUCGUUUAAAAGCUCUCAUCAUGCGAAUUUGCUAUUUAGCAGAAAUGGCAAGAAUGAGACAGCAGAGAGUAUGGGAUUUCUUUCAAGGGUGGUUGCCCCUCUCUGCUUUACCUAUGAUUCUGCCUUUUUUUUUUUUUGUUUUUUUUGAAACUGGUAACUGUUAUGAUUCUGCCCAUUUUAAUAAAAUAAUAGUCCUUAAAACAGAAAUAGAAAGAGGUAUAACACUUCAGUUUCUGUGUUUCUUUGCAUUUUGCACCCCUAAUACAUAAAACCAGAACACAAAACUAUACCACAACAACCAGAGACCUUCAGACCUUCAACCUUCAACCUUCAGAUCUUCAAUCUAUCUCCUUUAUGGCUUUGGAACAUCUUAAAGAGGCAGUGAUGAUAACUUUUUCUAUAUCUGGGCUAACCAAUUCGGGCAUGGAGACGAUCCGAUCUGUAUCUUGCUGUGGCAACCCAGUAUGACUGUGAUUGCCAAAAGAAGACUCCUCUCACACACACGCAACCGGUGUUUUGCAGCCAUGGCGUGGGUGGCUUCUCUUUUGCCUUAUCAUAGCACAUGUCUGAGCCUCAAUUUGCUAAAGAAAGUAUUAUCUUUUCGAGGCUUGGAUAUGGAAUGUAUCAAACCCACACCUUUUUAAUACAAGUUAUAUUGCUUUUCCCUCGUGAUGUACCGCCAAUCUUUUAUCCGUAACAAGAUCAAAAUGCUUAACAUUUAUGUAGUGCGUCCAAGUGACCACCUAUGCACAACUGGCAACUAACACUAAUAAUGUUCCCUAGGUCAGGCUAUGAAAGAUUCAAGAAAAACAAGGACCAAAAAGGCACAAAGAUAGGGCGGGAAUUCUGGGAGUACACAUUGCUGCUUCGACAUUCCUAUAGGCAUUAGAUUUUUUUUAACAACAGUAAAGUGGGGUCAUACUGAUCAUCACAGCGAGGUUUCGUCUUCGAACAUGGGAUAUAUUUGUUACUCUUUACACCUCGACCACUAUAUCACCCCCUUGCAACAAAUUGCAUUAGUUCUUACAUCACAACAAUAAUGAAGCAUUAGAGUAACAUGUGAGAUUUUGUAAUGGUGGUUGCCUUCCUUCUCCGGCUAACUAAUUCGGGCACACGGAGAUUACCGGACCGUAUCUUGGCAUGGCAACCCGGUAUGGCCCAUGACUUAGAAGCCUCUCUCACACAUGCAAUCGGAGUUUGCAGCCAUGGCAAUGUUGGCUUCUCUUUUGCCUUAUCAUAACACAAAUCUAAGCCUCAAUUUGGUAAAGAAAAUCCCUAAAAGGGUCAUAUUUAUCUUCUACAAUGCAAAAAAGGGCAAUAUCUUUUCCAUGAUUCAUGUGGAAGAUAUCGAACCCACACCCUUUUGUUUACCAGUUGUAAUGCUUUUCACUCGUAAUGUAUCGCUAUUUUUUGAUAAGUAAUAGCUCAAGAAUGAGGCCUUGGAGUGAAAUGUGGGAUUCCUAAAGGGUGGUUUCCUCCCUUCUCUGGUAAGCCCCUCAUUUUUUCGAGUUUUUUGCUUUUUGUGCUAGCUACUCACACGGUAUUUUCACUAUAGCUUUUACUCCUGUAUUUGUCAAAUCAGUUUUUUUAAAAUGCUUUUCUUGAACGGGGGUCUAUUGAAAACAACCUCUCUACAUCAGAUGAUGAAGAAAAUGUCCCUGAUAGUGAUUAUGAACCAGAUAACUCUUAGCAGGAAGAGGAAGAGGAUAUUUAAAGCGAUACUCUGGAAGAUGAUGAAUAUGAGAGCAUGGAAGAAGAUCCACUCAGUGAUGAUGCUGCGGACAAAUUGGUAGAAGCCUUUAAUGGACCUCAGAUCAUGGAUCCAAACAUAUCUCAGGCCUUUGGAGAAAUAACUGAUAGAACAAGUCUCUCCCUAAGAGGAUCCUUUUCAACUAGAGGAAGAGGAAGCUAUAGGGGCAGAGGAGGAAGAACAAUACCACUGCUAAUUGUCAGCAGUAAAAAAAAACAAUUCAAGUUUGAGUUCCAUGAUUAAGUAUUUGUGCUAGAAUAUUAGGGGCAUAAAAAGCUCCUUAGAAAGACCGAAAAAACUCGGUAAAACAUCACAAUAUCAAAAUUCUCUUUAUUCAAGAACCUAUGUGCAAAAGGAGCAAGCUGGAUAAAUUUAGGAGAUGGUUGGGAUUUCACUAUGCUUAUUCCAAUAACAAUAACAAAAUUUUGGAUUUUGCCUGAUGAAGAAUCUGAAUGUUCAGUAUUUAUGGAUGGAGAACAACAAUUGUCUUGUUCCAUAAAAAGUGAUAAUGAAAACAUUAUCAUGACAUCUGUCUAUGCUAAAUGCAAGAUAAAUUUGAGGGAGCCUUUAUGGGAUGAGUUGAGACAGCUCUCAUCAAUGCAUACUAAACCUUGGACUGUGGUAGGUGAUUUCAACUGUAUUACUGAUCCCAGUGAAAAAAGAGGUGGUUAAUCCACAUAGAAUGGAGAAAAGUUUCCCUUUGAUUGAGUGUGUUAAUGACUGUGAGUUGAAUGACCCGGGAUUCACUAGUUCUAUAUAUACAUGGUGUAAUCAUAGAGCACCAACAUACAGAAUAUGGAAGAGGCUUGAUAGGGCUAUGGGUAAUCAAACUGGUUGACAAGCUUUCCAGACAAUAUAGUCACACAUUUAGUCAGAACAGGUUCUGACCAUGCAACACUCCUUAUUGAAGCAAAAGGAACUAACACUCAUCCUCCAAAAUACUUCAAGUUUUUAAAUCUCUGGGUUGACCAACCUGAUUUUAAAGACAUUGUCUAACAAGCUUGGGAUGAGCAGGUGGAAGGAUCUCCUAUGUGGAAAUUUCACUUGAAGUUGAAAGUUACUUGUAAAAGACUAUCUUGGUGGUCUAAGAAUACUUUGGGGUAUAUAUUUGAAGCUACAAGAGAUAAAGAAAGACAAGUUUCUGAAUUAGAAACGAUAUGUCUUCAAGAUAACACUAUGGAGAAUAUGACCAAAUACAAUGAGGCUAAUGCCAAGCUCAUCAGACAUUAGGCAUCAAGUGGCAUGCUGAGGGUGAUUUGAAUACCAAAUUCUUUCAUUCGGUAAUUGCAUCCAGAAGAUAGAGACUGAAGCUGAAUAAAAUUAAGAACAACCCGAGGUACU